This is a non-coding RNA of Hydra vulgaris (swiftwater hydra), 1134 nucleotides long. NCBI's taxonomy places the organism in Eukaryota, Metazoa, Cnidaria, Hydrozoa, Anthoathecata, Hydridae. The record is from RefSeq and is a predicted model, not a curated record.
CCGUUAAUGCGUUUUACUACUUUACGAUAUUCUACCGUGAAAUUUUGGAUGUUAAUAGCGUUUUUUGCAGAACAAUCUCAAAAUCCUGUAGAUUUUAUUGUGGCCACACAAUCCAGCAUGCAAACGAUGCCCACAGUUAAAGUGAAAAAUAACUCAACUAAUUUGAGUAAGUUGUUAAAAAAAGUUGUAAGUAAUACAUGGUAAGUAAUAAAAUGUUUAAUUUAAAGUGUUCUUUAAAUAUUUAAUUGCUCAAUUUUAUAUAUAGUUUCAAUUCUGUCUUCAGAUUAAAUAUGUAAGUACUGCUGAUUGGUAUUUGAGAUUUGUUGUAUCUUGGGCCAAAAUGUCUAAAGAGGCACAAGAUAUAUUUGCAACUAAAGAAAGACCUUUAACAGCACAUCGUUGUUCAACUAUAAGCAUUAUUAUGAAUAAUAUUUAUUAUGUUCUUACUGUUUGUUUAUGCCAUUUAAAAACAUUUAGAUGUAAUUGCAUCUUCUAUGGUUGCCAAGUAUUCUAAAUUGUUUAUAGAUGAAUAUGGUUCCACAGUAAUUGGUAGGGGUCAUGACAGUUUAACGUUACAAUUAGUUAACCAUUAUGACUAUCUGUGGCAGCCAAACCGUGUGCCACUGUUAUUGGGUGUUUUAAAUUUGGAAUCCCAAGAGGGGUCCCAAUUAUUAGUUGAUGUCAAAAAAACUGAUAGUUAUGGUUACUUAAACCGAGAACCAGUUCUCAGUGUUUCAAACAGCCCUGAAGAACUCGAUUACUAUUUACAAUGAACUAAAAUAAAUGGAAAGAUCUUGUCAAAUGAUUUGUUGAUAAAAUUUUCCAAUUUCUUUACAGUAAAGUUGAUGGUUUGCAACAUCACUUUGAUGUUUUGAUGUGUGAAAUGAAUGCUGGUGAACUCUUGAUAAAAGCAUUAGAUAAUGAAAAAUUUAAGUGCUUUUUUCGGCAUCAAUCCUGAAAAAGGGAGCAAAUCAAGGCAAACGAAGAAGACUUUAUCAAUAAGCAAAAUUUUGCUGAAAAUUUUGCUCAAUACUGCAGAAGUUUGCAAGAUUUAAUAAUAUUUGAAUUUACCAUGUAGUCGUAAACUUCUAAAUAUAAUUCUAAAUAUAAAUUAAACUUCUAAAUAUAACUUUG